AACGCGAAGAACCUUACCGGGGCUUGACAUCUGCGGAAAUCCUAUGAAAGUAGGCUUCGGGGAAACCUGACCGCAAGACAGGUGCUGCAUGGCUGUCGUCAGCUCGUGCCGUGAGGUGUUGGGUUAAGUCCCGCAACGAGCGCAACCCUUGUCGUGUGUUGGUCCAAAAGAUCUCUCACACGAGACCGCCGGUGAUAAGCCGGAGGAAGGUGGGGAUGACGUCAAGUCAGCAUGGCCCUUACGUCCCGGGCUACACACGUGCUACAAUGCGCCGGACAACGAGCUGCAAACUCGCGAGAGUAAGCUAAUCUCUUAAACCGGCGCUCAGUUCGGAUUGAAGGCUGCAACUCGCCUUCAUGAAGUCGGAAUCGCUAGUAACCGCAGAUCAGCUACGCUGCGGUGAAUACGUUCCCGGGCCUUGUACACACCGGAGUGC
Molecule: ribosomal RNA, 436 nt
Filed under: uncultured bacterium
Lineage: Bacteria
Description: bacterial SSU rRNA
Rfam family: Bacterial small subunit ribosomal RNA
Source: RNAcentral